Molecule: ribosomal RNA, 1419 nt
Filed under: Triticum aestivum (bread wheat)
Lineage: Eukaryota; Viridiplantae; Streptophyta; Magnoliopsida; Poales; Poaceae
Description: partial small subunit ribosomal RNA
Source: RNAcentral
AUGGUCAUCGCAGGCGAGCCAGAGCCGGAGGAGGUGGCCGUCAUGUUCUCCGAUAGGUUGAGGGCGGAGGAGGAGACCGUCGUCUUCCCCGGCUGGGUGAUGCUGGAUCGCAUCGGCCGCACCCACUGCGACGGCGACCUAGGAGCUGCUCGUGAGGCUGUCAACGGGAACAAGACCGCCGUUCAAGUCGAGAUGGACAGCGGCCACUCCUUCUACGUGUCCUUCACCCUCGCGCCUCCUCCACAAGGGGCCUCUUACCUUGAUCUCCACUGGCCGCUGGAAGGCUCAGCCAAAUCCGUGCCCCCCUACAAGCAGCCUGCCUAUCCCUUCGUCCGGGCAAUCGACAAGGACCUCGUCCUCUUCCACAUCUCCAUCCCGAGCCUGCCUCACCGCAACUUCGUCCCGCCAGAUCUGUUCGUCUACAAUGCCGCUGGUCACCCCCCCUCGGUGCAGCAGCUCCCUCUGUACAGGAGAAGGUCAUUCCUCAGGGUUAACUUCACCACAGGCAUCCUGCGGCGCCAAAACGGCAGCUACAUCGUUUCCGACCUCAAUGUCUACCCAAAAAAGGAGGGCACUGGUAAUAAUUCCAUGUGCGCCGAACUCUGCGUCUUCAACUCCAAUACACGGGCGUGGAGCUUCUUCAGCAAGGAUGCUCCGCAGCCCCAGGACCAGAGCAAUGGCCAGUUCCCCACCCUCUGGUCAACCGACCAUGUGCUUGCUUUUGACGGCCGUUUCCUGUGCUGGGUUGACUACUUCAGCGGUGUCCUGCUAUCCGACUUCUCCAAUCUGCGCUCCCGGGUGCUCCACUUCGUCCCUUUCCCUGGAGAAGGAGAGUACCCUGCUAAGGUACGGGUUCAAAGGUGCUUCCCAGACAGAUUCCGAAGCGUGUCCAUCAGCAACGGCAAGAUGUGCUUCGUCCACAUUGACAAUGACUUCCAUGAGAGAAUCCACACUGGCUCGCAAGGGCAGCAGCCUCGCAAAAAAAUCACCAUUUGGACUUUGAACAUGAUGGAUGGUAACUCCAGGUUCAAGUGGGAGCCACAUCGUGUGAUCUACCUGGAUGGUCUUUUGCCAAAUCCUCACCGUCUUCCCGAGUUCCCUAUCAUCAGCGCAGAUGACCCGGAUGUUCUGUGCUGCCUCUUAAGGAAGGAGGAAUUUCAUGGUGAGGCCUCCAUGGUCAUGAUUGACAUGGAGCAUGCACGUCUGCAGUCGUCUACUCCAUAUAUCAAUCGACAGUCUGUGGAUGAGAAGGCUCACAAAAGCGAGUUUCCUGAUAUGCCCCUACUUCCAACUGUCUUCUCCAAACACAUUGAAAGGUCAACAGCAAACAAAUCACUUGGUUUGGCAAUUUUCUUAUCUGUCAAUGCUGCUCGCAAACAACAUAGUCAGAUGCUCAGAUGGUGUACAUAUGUAUUUUAA